Molecule: long non-coding RNA, 88 nt
Organism: Thalassophryne amazonica
Lineage: Eukaryota; Metazoa; Chordata; Actinopteri; Batrachoidiformes; Batrachoididae
Exons: 3
Source: RefSeq, a predicted model, not a curated record
UUUCAUUUAGAACUAUGACAAAACCAGCCUCACAGCUCUGCAAUAGUAUUUGAUUAAAAUCCACAAAAAUAGGAAUGUUAUCACACUA